CGGAAUUACUGGGCGUAAAGAGCUCGUAGGUGGUUUGUUGCGUCGUCUGUGAAAUUCCGGGGCUUAACUUCGGGGUGGCAGGCGAUACGGGCAUAACUAGAGUGCUGUAGGGGAGACUGGAAUUCCUGGUGUAGCGGUGGAAUGCGCAGAUAUCAGGAGGAACACCGAUGGCGAAGGCAGGUCUCUGGGCAGUAACUGACGCUGAGGAGCGAAAGCAUGGGGAGCGAACAGGAUUAGAUACCCUGGUAGUCCAUGCUGUAAACGGUGGGCGUUAGGUGUGGGGACCGGUUUGGUUUCUGUGCCGUAGCUAACGCAUUAAGCGCCCCGCCUGGGGAGUACGGCCGCAAGGCUAAAACUCAAAGGAAUUGACGGGGGCCCGCACAAGCGGCGGAGCAUGUGGAUUAAUUCGAUGCAACGCGAAGAACCUUACCUGGGUUUGACAUGCACCAGACGGUUGUAGAGAUACGUACCUCCCUUUGUGGUUGGUGUGCAGAUGGUGCAUGGUUGUCGUCAGCUCGUGUCGUGAGAUGUUGGGUUAAGUCCCGCAACGAGCGCAACCCUUGUCUUAUGUUGCCAGCACUUUGGGUGGGGACUCAUGAGAGACUGCCGGGGUUAACUCGGAGGAAGGUGGGGAUGACGUCAAAUCAUCAUGCCCUUUAUGCCCAGGGCUUCACACAUGCUACAAUGGUUAGUACAACGCGCGGCAAACCUGUGAGGGUGAGCGAAUCGCUGAAAGCUAAUCUCAGUUCGGAUUGGGGUCUGCAACUCGACCCCAUGAAGUCGGAGUCGC
RNAcentral lists this ribosomal RNA (790 nucleotides) under uncultured Actinomycetes bacterium. RNAcentral's name for it is "bacterial SSU rRNA". It matches the Rfam family "Bacterial small subunit ribosomal RNA", at positions 546 to 1335 of the family's 1533-position model. Lineage: Bacteria; Bacillati; Actinomycetota; Actinomycetes. The record is from RNAcentral.